This is a non-coding RNA of Chloroflexi bacterium OLB13, 136 nucleotides long. Lineage: Bacteria; Bacillati; Chloroflexota. The record is from Rfam.
AAUUCCGACCGUACUUUGCCGCAGAAUGCAGGUGGGUUCGCCCUUAAUGUCCUGCCGAGGUGAAGGCGCAUAGGGACUGAUUCACAGACCGUAUGGCGGCCUUUGCGUUUUGCGAGGCCGCUUUCAAUUUGCGGCG